This 460-nucleotide ribosomal RNA is filed under the name uncultured bacterium. RNAcentral describes it as "partial 16S ribosomal RNA". It matches the Rfam family "Bacterial small subunit ribosomal RNA", at positions 338 to 795 of the family's 1533-position model. The record is from RNAcentral.
CCUACGGGAGGCAGCAGUGAGGAAUAUUGGUCAAUGGGCGUAAGCCUGAACCAGCCACGUCGCGUGAGGGAUGAAGGUUCUAUGGAUCUUAAACCUCUUUUAUACGGGAAUAAAGUGCGGGACGUGUCCCGUUUUGUAUGUACAUUAUGAAUCAGGCUCGGCUAACUCCGUGCCAGCAGCCGCGGUAAUACGGAGGAUCCGGGCGUUAGCCGGAUUUAGUGGGUGUAAAGGGUGCGUAGGCGGCCGUGUAAGUUAGCGGUGAAAGUCUGUGGCUCAACCAUGGAAUUGCCGUUGAAACUGGGAGGCUUGAGUAUGUGGGAGGUAGGCGGAAUGCGUGGUGUAGCGGUGAAAUGCUUAGAUAUUACGCAGAACCCCGAUUGCGAAGGCAGCCUGCUAAGCCAUGACUGACGCUGAUGCACGAAAGCGUGGGGAUCAAACAGGAUUAGAUACCCGAGUAGUC